This 617-nucleotide ribosomal RNA is filed under the name Ptilotus murrayi. Its description in RNAcentral is "eukaryotic LSU rRNA". The stretch from base 231 to 385 matches the Rfam family "5.8S ribosomal RNA". Lineage: Eukaryota; Viridiplantae; Streptophyta; Magnoliopsida; Caryophyllales; Amaranthaceae. The record is from RNAcentral.
UCGAAACCUGCCCAACUGAACAACCAGCGAACAUGUUUACACAUUAUUUGGGGAGGGGUUGCUGGUCUUUCCAGUCCCUCCCCAAUGCCGGGGCGUUUUCCUUCGGGGGCGCGUCCCGGCACAACAACCAACCCCGGCGCGUAUGCGCCAAGGAACAUAACCACGAGCGUGUCUGUCCUUUCCCGGGCGUCCGGGGCAAGCGAUAUGGCACCCAAUCUUAGUCAUAAAAUGACUCUCGGCAACGGAUAUCUCGGCUCUUGCAUCGAUGAAGAACGUAGCGAAAUGCGAUACUUGGUGUGAAUUGCAGAAUCCCGUGAACCAUCGAGUUUUUGAACGCAAGUUGCGCCCGAAGCCUUUUGGUCAGGGCACGCCUGUCUGGGCGUCACGCAUAGCGUCUCUCUCCCCCAUACCAAGUAUGGGAGGGGUGAGGAUGAUGGCCUCCCAUGCCUCACCGGAUAUGGAUGGCCUAAAUAAGGAGCCCUUGGCGACGAAAUGUCACGGCAAUUGGUGGUACACAAGGCACAUGCCUAGAAAGCAUCGUGUCGUGCAUCCCGUAGCCUAUUAGGGCUGGAAGGACCCGUGUCAACCUUUGCGACCCCAGGUCAGGCGGGGUUACC